Molecule: transfer RNA, 86 nt
Filed under: Chloroflexota bacterium
Lineage: Bacteria; Bacillati; Chloroflexota
Also listed under: 2 other names
Description: tRNA-Leu
Rfam family: tRNA
About the family: Transfer RNA (tRNA) molecules are approximately 80 nucleotides in length.
Source: RNAcentral
GCGGCGGUGCUGGAACGGUUUACAGGGCAGACUCAAACUCUGCUGCUCGCAAGGGCAUGUGGGUUCGAAUCCCACCCGCCGUACCA